Molecule: ribosomal RNA, 496 nt
Filed under: uncultured bacterium
Lineage: Bacteria
Description: bacterial SSU rRNA
Rfam family: Bacterial small subunit ribosomal RNA
Source: RNAcentral
AACGCUGGCGGCGUGCCUAACACAUGCAAGUUGAACGUGAAAGGGGGCAACCCCGAGUAAAGUGGCGUACGGGUGAGUAACACGUAGGUAAUUUACCCCAGAGUUUGGAAUAACCGGCCGAAAGGCUGGCUAAUACUGGAUAGAGCGACGGAAUCCGUAAAUGGGUUUUUUGGGAAAGGGAGGGAGCAAUCCCCCUUGCUUUGGGAUGAGCCUGCGUCCCAUCAGCUAGUUGGUGAGGUAAAGGCUUACCAAGGCGAUGACGGGUAGCUGGUUUGAGAGGAUGAUCAGCCCCCCUGGAACUGAAACCCGGUCCCGACUCCUACGGGAGGCAGCAGUGGGGAAUUUUGCGCAAUGGACGAAAGUUUGACGCAGCCCCGCCGCGUGAGUGAAGAAGGCCUUCGGGUUGUAAAGCUCUGUCGGGAGGGACGAACCUUAUUCGGGUUAACAGCCCGAGUGACUGACGGUACCACCAAAGGAAGCCCCGGCUAACUUUGUG